AGGACGAACGCUGGCGGCGUGCUUAACACAUGCAAGUCGAGCGAGGCCCGUCCUUCGGGACGGUGCCCUAGCGGCGAACGGGUGAGUAACACGUGGGCAACCUGCCCCUAGCACUGGGAUAACUCCGGGAAACCGGGGCUAAUACCGGAUAUGACCUUUGAGGGCAUCCUCGAAGGUGUAAAGGAUUCUGGCUAGGGAUGGGCCCGCGGCCUAUCAGCUUGUUGGUGGGGUAACGCCUACCAAGGCGACGACGGGUAGCCGGCCUGAGAGGGCGACCGGCCACACUGGGACUGAGACACGGCCCAGACUCCUACGGGAGGCAGCAGUGGGGAAUAUUGCACAAUGGGCGAAAGCCUGAUGCAGCGACGCCGCGUGAGGGAUGACGGCCUUCGGGUUGUAAACCUCUUUCAGCAGGGACGAAGCGAAAGUGACGGUACCUGCAGAAGAAGCACCGGCCAACUACGCGCCAGCAGCCGC
This 477-nucleotide ribosomal RNA is filed under the name uncultured bacterium. RNAcentral's name for it is "SSU rRNA". It matches the Rfam family "Bacterial small subunit ribosomal RNA", at positions 26 to 518 of the family's 1533-position model. The record is from RNAcentral.